Molecule: ribosomal RNA, 253 nt
Filed under: uncultured bacterium
Lineage: Bacteria
Description: partial 16S ribosomal RNA
Rfam family: Bacterial small subunit ribosomal RNA
Source: RNAcentral
GACAGAGGGUGCAAACGUUAUUCGGAAUUACUGGGCGUAAAGGGCGCGUAGGCGGUUUAUUAAGUUCGUUGUUAAAGGCUCCGGCCCAACCGGAGUAUUGCGAUGAAAACUGGUAAACUAGAGGAUGAGAGAGAGAAGUGGAAUUCCCGGAGUAGCGGUAAAAUGCGUGGAUCUCGGGAGGAACACCAAUGGCGAAGGCAGCUUCUUGGCUCAUAUCUGACGUUGAGGCACGAAAGCGUGGGGAGCAAACAGG